This 273-nucleotide ribosomal RNA is filed under the name Staphylococcus sp. KK07. RNAcentral describes it as "partial 16S ribosomal RNA". It matches the Rfam family "Bacterial small subunit ribosomal RNA", at positions 79 to 344 of the family's 1533-position model. The record is from RNAcentral. Lineage: Bacteria; Bacillati; Bacillota; Bacilli; Caryophanales; Staphylococcaceae.
CUUGCUCCUUUGACGUUAGCGGCGGACGGGUGAGUAACACGUGGGUAACCUACCUAUAAGACUGGGAUAACUUCGGGAAACCGGAGCUAAUACCGGAUAAUAUUUCGAACCGCAUGGUUCGAUAGUGAAAGAUGGCUUUGCUAUCACUUAUAGAUGGACCUGCGCCGUAUUAGCUAGUUGGUAAGGUAACGGCUUACCAAGGCAACGAUACGUAGCCGACCUGAGAGGGUGAUCGGCCACACUGGAACUGAGACACGGUCCAGACUCCUACGG